Molecule: long non-coding RNA, 306 nt
Organism: Neofelis nebulosa (Clouded leopard)
Lineage: Eukaryota; Metazoa; Chordata; Mammalia; Carnivora; Felidae
Exons: 3
Source: RefSeq, a predicted model, not a curated record
UGCAGAUCUGUACCCAUUAGCUGUCCAUGGAUUAAUUUAUUGGGCUGGAAAUGGCAGUUUAAAACCCUGAAGGAUUCAGGACAAUUUCCUGUGGUGUCUCUGUAAAGCUGCAAAUGCCAUGUCAGGAACAACAGGGAGCCCCAGACUGUGUGACGUGGAGUGAGAGGAGAACUAUAAACAAUCUUAAAUACUGAUUGAACCGGGAGAAAGCCUCAAUUAUUAAUCUAGCCUUAUUCAGUCUGAUUUUUCCACUGAUUUCUAACAAGAUCCUUAUCUCAGAAUGGAAAUCACUGGUAAGUGUUAUGA